Molecule: ribosomal RNA, 252 nt
Filed under: uncultured bacterium
Lineage: Bacteria
Description: partial 16S ribosomal RNA
Rfam family: Bacterial small subunit ribosomal RNA
Source: RNAcentral
UACGUAGGUCCCAAGCGUUGUCCGGAUUUAUUGGGCGUAAAGCGAGCGCAGGUGGUUUAUUAAGUCUGGUGUAAAAGGCAGUGGCUCAACCAUUGUAUGCAUUGGAAACUGGUAGACUUGAGUGCAGGAGAGGAGAGUGAAAUUCCAUGUGUAGCGGUGAAAUGCGUAGAUAUAUGGAGGAACACCGGUGGCGAAAGCGGCUCUCUGGCCUGUAACUGACACUGAGGCUCGAAAGCGUGGGGAGCAAACAGG